RNAcentral lists this ribosomal RNA (439 nucleotides) under uncultured bacterium. RNAcentral's name for it is "partial 16S ribosomal RNA". It matches the Rfam family "Bacterial small subunit ribosomal RNA", at positions 338 to 795 of the family's 1533-position model. The record is from RNAcentral.
CCUACGGGAGGCAGCAGUGGGGAAUAUUGCACAAUGGGCGAAAGCCUGAUGCAGCAACGCCGCGUGAGCGAUGAAGGCCUUCGGGUCGGAAAGCCCUGUCCUCAAGGAAGAUAAUGACGGUACUUGUGGAGGAAGCCACGGCAAACUACGUGCCAGCAUCCGCGGUAAUACGUAGGGGGCUAGCGUUAUCCGGAAUUACUGGGCGUAAAGGGUGCGUAGGUGGGUUCUUAAGUCAGAGGUGAAAGGGUACGGCUCAACCGUAGUAAGCCUUUGAAACUGGGAAACUUGAGUGCAGGAGAGGAGAGUGGAAUUCCUAGUGUAGCGGUGAAAUGCGUAGAUAUUAGGAGGAACACCAGUUGCGAAGGCGGCUCUCUGGACUGUAACUGACACUGAGGCACGAAAGCGUGGGUAUCGAACAGGAUUAGAUACCCUAGUAGUC